Molecule: ribosomal RNA, 468 nt
Filed under: uncultured bacterium
Lineage: Bacteria
Description: partial 16S ribosomal RNA
Rfam family: Bacterial small subunit ribosomal RNA
Source: RNAcentral
GACGAACGCUGGCGGCGUGCUUAACACAUGCAAGUCGAACGGAAAGGCCCUGCUUUUGUGGGGUGCCCGAGUGGCGAACGGGUGAGUAACACGUGAGUAACCUGCCCUUGACUUUGGGAUAACUUCAGGAAACUGGGGCUAAUACCGGAUAGGAGCUCCUGCUGCAUGGUGGGGGUUGGAAAGUUUCGGCGGUUGGGGAUGGACUCGCGGCUUAUCAGCUUGUUGGUGGGGUAGUGGCUUACCAAGGCUUUGACGGGUAGCCGGCCUGAGAGGGUGACCGGCCACAUUGGGACUGAGAUACGGCCCAGACUCCUACGGGAGGGAGCAGUGGGGAAUAUUGCACAAUGGGCGGAAGCCUGAUGCAGCAACGCCGCGUGCGGGAUGACGGCCUUCGGGUUGUAAACCGCUUUCGCCUGUGACGAAGCGUGAGUGACGGUAAUGGGUAAAGAAGCACCGGCUAACUACGUG